CCUACGGGCGGCAGCAGUGGGGAAUAUUGCACAAUGGGCGCAAGCCUGAUGCAGCCAUGCCGCGUGUGUCAAGAAGGCCUUCGGGUUGUAAAGCACUUUCAGCGGGGAGGAAGGCGGUGAGGUUAAUAACCUCAUCGAUUGACGUUACCCGCAGAAGAAGCACCGGCUAACUCCGUGCCAGCAGCCGCGGUAAUACGGAGGGUGCAAGCGUUAAUCGGAAUUACUGGGCGUAAAGCGCACGCAGGCGGUCUGUCAAGUCGGAUGUGAAAUCCCCGGGCUCAACCUGGGAACUGCAUUCGAAACUGGCAGGCUAGAGUCUUGUAGAGGGGGGUAGAAUUCCAGGUGUAGCGGUGAAAUGCGUAGAGAUCUGGAGGAAUACCGGUGGCGAAGGCGGCCCCCUGGACAAAGACUGACGCUCAGGUGCGAAAGCGUGGGGAGCAAACAGGAUUAGAUACCCGAGUAGUC
RNAcentral lists this ribosomal RNA (465 nucleotides) under uncultured Klebsiella sp. RNAcentral describes it as "bacterial SSU rRNA". It matches the Rfam family "Bacterial small subunit ribosomal RNA", at positions 338 to 795 of the family's 1533-position model. Lineage: Bacteria; Pseudomonadati; Pseudomonadota; Gammaproteobacteria; Enterobacterales; Enterobacteriaceae. The record is from RNAcentral.